RNAcentral lists this ribosomal RNA (404 nucleotides) under uncultured bacterium. RNAcentral's name for it is "bacterial SSU rRNA". It matches the Rfam family "Bacterial small subunit ribosomal RNA", at positions 362 to 758 of the family's 1533-position model. The record is from RNAcentral.
UAUUGGACAAUGGGCGCAAGCCUGAUCCAGCAAUACCGCGUGUGUGAAGAAGGCCUGCGGGUUGUAAAGCACUUUUGGUGGGGAAGAAAAGUUAGAAGUUAAUACCUUCUAACCCUGACACUACCCACAGAAAAAGCACCGGCUAACUCUGUGCCAGCAGCCGCGGUAAUACAGAGGGUGCAAGCGUUAAUCGGAAUUACUGGGCGUAAAGGGCGUGUAGGUGGUUUCUUAAGUUAGAUGUGAAAGCCCUGGGCUCAACCUGGGAACAGCAUCUAAAACUGGGUAACUAGAGUAUGGUAGAGGGAAGUGGAAUUUCUAGUGUAGCGGUGAAAUGCGUAGAUAUUAGAAAGAACACCAGUGGCGAAGGCGACUUCCUGGACCAAUACUGACACUGAGGCGCGAGA